This 492-nucleotide ribosomal RNA is filed under the name uncultured bacterium. Its description in RNAcentral is "partial 16S ribosomal RNA". It matches the Rfam family "Bacterial small subunit ribosomal RNA", at positions 29 to 507 of the family's 1533-position model. The record is from RNAcentral.
AGUGAACGCUGGCGGUAGGCCUAACACAUGCAAGUCGAACGGCAGCACAGUAAGAGCUUGCUCUUACGGGUGGCGAGUGGCGGACGGGUGAGGAAUACAUCGGAAUCUACUUUUUCGUGGGGGAUAACGUAGGGAAACUUACGCUAAUACCGCAUACGACCUACGGGUGAAAGCAGGGGAUCUUCGGACCUUGCGCGAUUGAAUGAGCCGAGGUCGGAUUAGCUAGUUGGCGGGGUAAAGGCCCACCAAGGCGACGAUCCGUAGCUGGUCUGAGAGGAUGAUCAGCCACACUGGAACUGAGACACGGUCCAGACUCCUACGGGAGGCAGCAGUGGGGAAUAUUGGACAAUGGGCGCAAGCCUGAUCCAGCCAUACCGCGUGGGUGAAGAAGGCCUUCGGGUUGUAAAGCCCUUUUGUUGGGAAAGAAAAGCAGCAGGUUAAUACCCCGCUGUGCUGACGGUACCCAAAGAAGAAGCACCGGCUAACUUCGUG